This is a long non-coding RNA of Prionailurus viverrinus (fishing cat), 2317 nucleotides long. RefSeq lists it as uncharacterized. NCBI's taxonomy places the organism in Eukaryota, Metazoa, Chordata, Mammalia, Carnivora, Felidae. The transcript has 3 exons. The record is from RefSeq and is a predicted model, not a curated record.
GAUCGGGGUGUUGGAGUAGCAGCAGACAGCAGACGGCACUUGUGGUUGGGGCUGGUUGCUUUGUUUCUGGGCCUUUUUGCCCUACGCCUGGGGGGCCAGCUCGGUGUCCCUCAGCGGCUUGCCUUCACCUCAGCUGUUUUCUUUUCGAGCGGCUCGUAGAGCAGGCUAAACCUCACAUCAAGCUGAAUUCUGAAGAUAUGUUGGCACCUGUGCACAAGCUCCCUAUACUGGACUCAUGAAACAAACCAGAACUAUCUAAGUCAGGGGAUUCCAAUCAACUGGUCAAGUUUAAGAGAUGGACCUGACAGGGUACUAGAUAUAUGAGUAGCUCCACGAACACUUGCUGAGAAAAUAAGUGAAUGGCUAGACAAGUGAGGUCGUUACCUAACCCGUCAUAAAUUAUACUGGAAUCCCCAUUUUCCAGGAGAAGAAAAAAUGCCCAAGACUGAUGUUUCUGAGGAUUAAACACCUAGAUAGGGUGACAGUACCCUGACAUACUCAAAUUCUAGAAGCAAGCUGCUCCCUAUUACCCUCGCCCUCCUCAAGAAGCUGAUCCAUCCAUACUUCAAAUGAAGAAGUAAUUACCAAGUAACCGUCAGGGGCCAUGGAGGAUGCUAGGAAUACAGACAUCUACUAUCUUCAGGGAUUGGAAUUCACAGUCUACAGGAGCAUAAAUAUACAAGUCCCAAACUCUGACUUUGCUCCCCAAAUCUGCUUCAGCCUCAGUCUACCUCACCUCAACGGAGAUACCCCAUCCUCCUCCCAGCUGCUCAAGGCUGAAAUAGGAAAAUCAUCCUUAUUCCUCUCCUGCCCUAUUCCCUGGUUCCUGUCCAUUCUGCCUCUGAAAAGUAUCUGAAAUCAUCUUGCUUCUGUCACCACUGCCACCCUCCUCGCCAAACUGGGACCACUGCAACAGCCUCCGACUGGUCCCGUCUUCUGCUUUUCAUCCCCUGCAAUCCACACAGCAGGUAGGGUGACUUGUGAAAAUAUAAACAGAAUGCCUCUGCUGCUUAAAACUCUCCAGUGACUUCCCAUUUCCCAUAGAAUAAAAUAUAAACUCCUUGCCCUCACCCCAGUAGAUCAGCAGGACUUGGCCCCUGCCUCACUCUCCCAGCUAUCUAAUACCACGCUUCUUCUGGCUGGUCAUGCUUCCCUCACACUGGCUUCUCUCCCCUCCUCUCCCACCAAAGCCACCACCGCACAAGCACAGACUGGCAUUGCUCUCCCUCCACCCGCCAGCCCCCCAAUCCCAACCUAACUAUGGCUGAUGCUCGGGUCUCAGAUGUCACUUCCUCAUCCAGGCACUCCCCCAACCCACACUGAGGACCCUGUUCUUUACCCCUGGCUCUUAUUUCAUUUAUAAAUUGUCACUUCCUUGUCUUUUCCCCUUAGACUAUUAUCGAAGACCAUACUUAUUUUGUUCACAAUUAUAUACCUAGUGCCUAGAACAUAGUAGGCGCUCUAUUUGCCGAAUGGAUGAAGGAAUGGUUGAAGGAACACACAAGUAAUCACAACACAAGGCAUCCCGCGUUGAAAGAGGGUGGAGCUCAACAGAAGUAGAAGGGGAACCCUGGUAGAGGGGGUAAAAUUAAAACUAGGCCUGGAAAUUAAAGAAACAAACAAACACUCUUUUGCAGUAUUCGAUUCACACAAAGUAAUUUAGAGAACACUUAUGCAGGUAAUGAAGCAUAUUGAAAACAAACACUAAUAAAGUUACUGCACUAAUGAAAAUAUUAUGAAUACUGCUGUACACAUCCUUUAGUAAAAAUAUAAACACAGUCUAGAAGAUAUUUCCAACACACACACAAAAAAAAUUUAUAUCCAGAGAUGUGAAGAGUUCCUUUGAGUCAGUAAGAAAAAUACAAAUAACCAGAUAGAAAAAUAAGGGCAUAAAUAGCAUUUCCCAAUAAGAAACUGAAAUGACCAAAAAAUACAGGAAGAGGUGCUUAACAUCUCUAGCAACCAGGAAAUGAAAGAAAUAAAGACCACGGGGAGAUACUUUUUUGCAUCGAUUAGACUGGCAAAAAAUUAAUGCAACAAAACCAAAUGUUGGCAAGGAUGCGGUUCUUAGAUUUUGACGAGCAAAAGCGGCAAGGGAAGGGGAUCCCAGCAGAGGGUGGAAACAGGCAGGGCAUGUUUCCGGAAUAUCCACGUGGUGGAGCACAGGACGUGGAAAGGAACGAAUCUGGGGAUAAAGGGAGUGACCGGGUGAAGAAGAGAGGUCACCAGGGGCAGGGAGAGAGGGGACAGGUACAGAGCUUCAGUUUGCAAUGAUCAAGUGCUAUGGAUGGAGUGUGGGAUGGUUGCACAAUAGGAA